AGUCUAUUAGGUCAAUUGGCAGAGCUUUUUGCAAUUGCAUAAUGAUGUAGGUUCGAAUCCUACAUAGGCUA
This 71-nucleotide transfer RNA is filed under the name Spinacia oleracea (spinach). It matches the Rfam family "tRNA". From Rfam's summary of the family: Transfer RNA (tRNA) molecules are approximately 80 nucleotides in length. The record is from Rfam by way of RNAcentral. Lineage: Eukaryota; Viridiplantae; Streptophyta; Magnoliopsida; Caryophyllales; Amaranthaceae.